CCUACGGGGGGCAGCAGUGGGGAAUAUUGGACAAUGGGCGAAAGCCUGAUCCAGCCAUGCCGCGUGUGUGAAGAAGGCCUUCGGGUUGUAAAGCACUUUCAGUGGGGAAGAAAGCCUUGGGGCUAAUACCCUCGAGGAAGGACAUCACCCACAGAAGAAGCACCGGCUAACUCCGUGCCAGCAGCCGCGGUAAUACGGAGGGUGCGAGCGUUAAUCGGAAUUACUGGGCGUAAAGCGCGCGUAGGCGGUCUGAUAAGCCGGUUGUGAAAGCCCCGGGCUCAACCUGGGAACGGCAUCCGGAACUGUCAGGCUAGAGUGCAGGAGAGGAAGGUAGAAUUCCCAGUGUAGCGGUGAAAUGCGUAGAGAUCGGGAGGAAUACCAGUGGCGAAGGCGGCCUUCUGGACUGACACUGACGCUGAGGUGCGAAAGCGUGGGUAGCAAACAGGAUUAGAUACCCGAGUAUUC
RNAcentral lists this ribosomal RNA (465 nucleotides) under Vreelandella stevensii. Its description in RNAcentral is "partial 16S ribosomal RNA". It matches the Rfam family "Bacterial small subunit ribosomal RNA", at positions 338 to 795 of the family's 1533-position model. Lineage: Bacteria; Pseudomonadati; Pseudomonadota; Gammaproteobacteria; Oceanospirillales; Halomonadaceae. The record is from RNAcentral.